Molecule: ribosomal RNA, 480 nt
Filed under: uncultured bacterium
Lineage: Bacteria
Description: bacterial SSU rRNA
Rfam family: Bacterial small subunit ribosomal RNA
Source: RNAcentral
GAUGAACGCUAGCGGCAGGCCUAACACAUGCAAGUCGAGGGGUAGAAUUAGCUUGCUAAUUUGAGACCGGCGCACGGGUGCGUAACGCGUAUGCAAUCUACCUUGUACAGGGGGAUAGCCCAGAGAAAUUUGGAUUAAUACUCCAUGGUAUAAUUGAAUCGCAUGGUUUGAUUAUUAAAGUUCCAACGGUACAAGAUGAGCAUGCGUCCCAUUAGCUAGUUGGUGUGGUAACGGCAUACCAAGGCGACGAUGGGUAGGGGUCCUGAGAGGGAGAUCCCCCACACUGGUACUGAGACACGGACCAGACUCCUACGGGAGGCAGCAGUGAGGAAUAUUGGUCAAUGGUCGGAAGACUGAACCAGCCAUGCCGCGUGCAGGAAGACGGUCCUAUGGAUUGUAAACUGCUUUUGUACGGGAAGAAACACUCCUUCGUGAAGGAGCUUGACGGUACCGUAAGAAUAAGGAUCGGCUAACUCCGUG